Molecule: ribosomal RNA, 274 nt
Filed under: uncultured bacterium
Lineage: Bacteria
Description: partial 16S ribosomal RNA
Rfam family: Bacterial small subunit ribosomal RNA
Source: RNAcentral
AUACGUAGGUGGCGAGCGUUGUUCGGAUUUAUGGGGCGUAAAGGGUCCGCAGGGGGUCUGUCAAGUCUGAUGUGAAAUCUCGAGGCUUAACCUCGAAACUGCAUUGGAAACUGGCAGACUAGAGUAUCGGAGAGGAGAGUGGAAUUCCUGGUGUAGCGGUGGAAUGCGUAGAUAUCAGGAAGAACACCAACAGCGAAGGCAGCUCUCUGGACGAUUACUGACCCUCAUGGACGAAAGCGUGGGUAGCAAACAGGAUUAGAAACCCUAGUAGUCC